RNAcentral lists this ribosomal RNA (280 nucleotides) under uncultured crenarchaeote. Its description in RNAcentral is "partial 16S rRNA". It matches the Rfam family "Archaeal small subunit ribosomal RNA", at positions 1047 to 1325 of the family's 1478-position model. Lineage: Archaea; Thermoproteati; Thermoproteota. The record is from RNAcentral.
GAGACCCUUGCCGAUAAUUGCUAGCCGAGGCAGCAAUGCCGCGGAGGCUAGUUAUCGGGACUGCCGCUGCUAAAGCGGAGGAAGGAGAGGGCCACGGCAGGUCAGUAUGCCCCGAAACUCCUGGGCCACACGCGGGCUGCAAUGGUAGGGACAGUGGGUUCCGACCUCGACAGAGGAAGGCAAUCCUCAAACCCUACCCCAGUUGUGAUUGAGGGCUGAAACCCGCCCUCAUGAAUAUGGAAUCCCUAGUAACCGCGUGUCAUCAUCGCGCGGUGAAUAC